AUUGAACGCUGGCGGAAUGCUUUACACAUGCAAGUCGAACGGCAGCACGGACUUCGGUCUGGUGGCGAGUGGCGAACGGGUGAGUAAUGUAUCGGAACGUGCCCAGUCGUGGGGGAUAACGUAGUGAAAAUUACGCUAAUACCGCAUACGAUCUAUGGAUGAAAGCGGGGGAUCGCAAGACCUCGCGCGAUUGGAGCGGCCGAGAGAAGAUUAGGUAGUUGGUGGGGUAAAGGCCCACCAAGCCAACGAUCUGUAGCUGGUCUGAGAGGACGACCAGCCACACUGGAACUGAGACACGGUCCAGACUCCUACGGGAGGCAGCAGUGGGGAAUUUUGGACAAUGGGCGAAAGCCUGAUCCAGCCAUUCCGCGUGCAGGAUGAAGGCCCUCGGGUUGUAAACUGCUUUUGUACAGAACGAAAAGGUUUCUACUAAUACUAGGAGCUCAUGACGGUACUGUAAGAAUAAGCACCGGCUAACUACGUGCCAGCAGCCGCAGUAA
RNAcentral lists this ribosomal RNA (500 nucleotides) under uncultured bacterium. Its description in RNAcentral is "partial 16S ribosomal RNA". It matches the Rfam family "Bacterial small subunit ribosomal RNA", at positions 30 to 523 of the family's 1533-position model. The record is from RNAcentral.